AGCCCCGUAGUGUAGCGGCCAAUCAUCCGGGACUCUGGCUCCUGGGACCUCGGUUCGAAUCCGGGCGGGGCUA
RNAcentral lists this transfer RNA (73 nucleotides) under Candidatus Woesearchaeota archaeon. RNAcentral's name for it is "tRNA-Gln". It matches the Rfam family "tRNA". Rfam says of the family: Transfer RNA (tRNA) molecules are approximately 80 nucleotides in length. Their secondary structure includes four short double-helical elements and three loops (D, anti-codon, and T loops). Further hydrogen bonds mediate the characteristic L-shaped molecular structure. tRNAs have two regions of fundamental functional importance: the anti-codon, which is responsible for specific mRNA codon recognition, and the 3' end, to which the tRNAs corresponding amino acid is attached (by aminoacyl-tRNA synthetases). tRNAs cope with the degeneracy of the genetic code in two manners: having more than one tRNA (with a specific anti-codon) for a particular amino acid; and 'wobble' base-pairing, i.e. permitting non-standard base-pairing at the 3rd anti-codon position. The record is from RNAcentral. Lineage: Archaea; Nanobdellati; Candidatus Woesearchaeota.